Molecule: ribosomal RNA, 254 nt
Filed under: uncultured bacterium
Lineage: Bacteria
Description: partial 16S ribosomal RNA
Rfam family: Bacterial small subunit ribosomal RNA
Source: RNAcentral
UACAGAGGUCCCAAGCGUUUGUUCGGAUUCACUGGGCGUAAAGGGUGCGUAGGCGGCCGGGUAAGUCUGUUGUGAAAUCUCCGAGCUUAACUCGGAAACUGCAGUGGAUACUAUCCGGCUAGAGGAAUGGAGGGGAGACUGGAAUACUUGGUGUAGCAGUGAAAUGCGUAGAUAUCAAGUGGAACACCAGUGGCGAAGGCGAGUCUCUGGACAUUUCCUGACGCUGAGGCACGAAAGCCAGGGGAGCAAACGGG